This 154-nucleotide unclassified non-coding RNA is filed under the name uncultured fungus. RNAcentral's name for it is "sequence contains ITS2". Lineage: Eukaryota; Fungi. The record is from RNAcentral.
GUACCUUCAAGCUUUGCUUGGUGUUGGGUGUUUGUCUCGCCUUUGCGUGUAGACUCGCCUUAAAACAAUUGGCAGCCGGCGUAUUGAUUUCGGAGCGCAGUACAUCUCGCGCUUUGUACUCAGAACGACGGCAUCCAAAAGUCAUUUUUUACAC